CGUAGGGCGCGAGCGUUAAUCGGAAUUACUGGGCGUAAAGCGUGCGCAGGCGGUUUUGUAAGACAGAUGUGAAAUCCCCGGGCUCAACCUGGGACCUGCAUUUGUGACUGCAAGGCUAGAGUACGGUAGAGGGGGAUGGAAUUCCGCGUGUAGCAGUGAAAUGCGUAGAUAUGCGGAGGAACACCGAUGGCGAAGGCAAUCCCCUGGACCUGUACUGACGCUCAUGCACGAAAGCGUGGGGAGCAAACAGGAUUAGAUACCCUGGUAGUCCACGCCCUAAACGAUGUCAACUGGUUGUUGGGUCUUUACUGACUCAGUAACGAAGCUAACGCGUGAAGUUGACCGCCUGGGGAGUACGGCCGCAAGGUUG
RNAcentral lists this ribosomal RNA (370 nucleotides) under uncultured organism. Its description in RNAcentral is "bacterial SSU rRNA". It matches the Rfam family "Bacterial small subunit ribosomal RNA", at positions 526 to 896 of the family's 1533-position model. The record is from RNAcentral.